GAUGAACGCUGGCGGCGUGCCUAAUACAUGCAAGUCGAGCGAACGGACGAGAAGCUUGCUUUUCUGAUGUUAGCGGCGGACGGGUGAGUAACACGUGGAUAACCUACCUAUAAGACUGGGAUAACUUCGGGAAACCGGAGCUAAUACCGGAUAAUAUUUUGAACCGCAUGGUUCAAAAGUGAAAGACGGUCUUGCUGUCACUUAUAGAUGGAUCCGCGCUGCAUUAGCUAGUUGGUAAGGUAACGGCUUACCAAGGCAACGAUGCAUAGCCGACCUGAGAGGGUGAUCGGCCACACUGGAACUGAGACACGGUCCAGACUCCUACGGGAGGCAGCAGUAGGGAAUCUUCCGCAAAGGGCGAAAGCCUGACGGAGCAACGCCGCGUGAGUGAUGAAGGUCUUCGGAUCGUAAAACUCUGUUAUUAGGGAAGAACAUAUGAGUAAGUAACUGUGCACAUCUUGACGGUACCUAAUCAGAAAGCCACGGCUAACUACGUG
This 497-nucleotide ribosomal RNA is filed under the name uncultured bacterium. Its description in RNAcentral is "partial 16S ribosomal RNA". It matches the Rfam family "Bacterial small subunit ribosomal RNA", at positions 28 to 507 of the family's 1533-position model. The record is from RNAcentral.